UUACACACCGCCCGUCACACCAAGGGAGUUUGUUGCACCAGAAGCAGGUAGCUUAACCGCAAGGGGGGCGCUUGCCACGGUGUGGCCGAUGACUGGGGUG
RNAcentral lists this ribosomal RNA (100 nucleotides) under uncultured bacterium. RNAcentral describes it as "partial 16S ribosomal RNA". It matches the Rfam family "Bacterial small subunit ribosomal RNA", at positions 1383 to 1482 of the family's 1533-position model. The record is from RNAcentral.